RNAcentral lists this ribosomal RNA (527 nucleotides) under Escherichia coli. RNAcentral describes it as "partial 23S ribosomal RNA". It matches the Rfam family "Bacterial large subunit ribosomal RNA", at positions 1 to 558 of the family's 2925-position model. Lineage: Bacteria; Pseudomonadati; Pseudomonadota; Gammaproteobacteria; Enterobacterales; Enterobacteriaceae. The record is from RNAcentral. RNAcentral also lists the same sequence under 2 other names.
GGGUUGUGAGGUUAAGCGACUAAGCGUACACGGUGGAUGCCCUGGCAGUCAGAGGCGAUGAAGGACGUGCUAAUCUGCGAUAAGCGUCGGUAAGGUGAUAUGAACCGUUAUAACCGGCGAUUUCCGAAUGGGGAAACCCAGUGUGAUUCGUCACACUAUCAUUAACUGAAUCCAUAGGUUAAUGAGGCGAACCGGGGGAACUGAAACAUCUAAGUACCCCGAGGAAAAGAAAUCAACCGAGAUUCCCCCAGUAGCGGCGAGCGAACGGGGAGCAGCCCAGAGCCUGAAUCAGUGUGUGUGUUAGUGGAAGCGUCUGGAAAGGCGUGCGAUACAGGGUGACAGCCCCGUACACAAAAAUGCACAUACUGUGAGCUCGAUGAGUAGGGCGGGACACGUGGUAUCCUGUCUGAAUAUGGGGGGACCAUCCUCCAAGGCUAAAUACUCCUGACUGACCGAUAGUGAACCAGUACCGUGAGGGAAAGGCGAAAAGAACCCCGGCGAGGGGAGUGAAAAAGAACCUGAAACCG